Molecule: ribosomal RNA, 440 nt
Filed under: uncultured Lachnospiraceae bacterium
Lineage: Bacteria; Bacillati; Bacillota; Clostridia; Lachnospirales; Lachnospiraceae
Description: bacterial SSU rRNA
Rfam family: Bacterial small subunit ribosomal RNA
Source: RNAcentral
CCUACGGGCGGCAGCAGUGGGGAAUAUUGCACAAUGGGCGAAAGCCUGAUGCAGCGACGCCGCGUGAGUGAAGAAGUAUUUCGGUAUGUAAAGCUCUAUCAGCAGGGAAGAUAAUGACAGUACCUGACUAAGAAGCCCCGGCUAACUACGUGCCAGCAGCCGCGGUAAUACGUAGGGGGCAAACGUUAUCCGGAUUUAUUGGGCGUAAAGCGAGCGCAGACGGCAAUGCAAGUCUGAAGUGAAAGGCGUGGGCUCAACCCAUGAACUGCUUUGGAAACUGUAUAGCUUGAGUGUCGGAGGGGUAAGCGGAAUUCCUAGUGUAGCGGUGAAAUGCGUAGAUAUUAGGAGGAACACCGGAGGCGAAGGCGGCUUACUGGACGACAACUGACGUUGAGGCUCGAAGGCGUGGGGAGCAAACAGGAUUAGAUACCCUGGUAGUC